Molecule: long non-coding RNA, 449 nt
Filed under: Equus caballus (horse)
Lineage: Eukaryota; Metazoa; Chordata; Mammalia; Perissodactyla; Equidae
Description: lncRNA (ENSECAG00000053623.1)
Source: RNAcentral
GGUCUGAUGGACAAGAAGGACAGAUAAGGAGAUAGAGGCUCAGAGAGGUGACUUGAGUUGUCCAAGGUCAUACUGCAAGCAAAUGGCAGAGCUGGGCUUUGAAUCAGGCACUUCGGCUCUGAAGGUUUCUCUUCCACUACCACCUGGCUUGGUAUAGAGGCCUGGCUUAGAAGAAGCUGACUCAUGUGAGUCAGACAGCACUCUGAACUGGGCCCCCACUUUGUGCAGAACUCUAGCUGAGGCUUCUCAGGGGCAAGAAGAACACAACUCCCUCGGCCCCAGCCCCAGGGAACCUGCUGCCGUGGCUCAGGAAACAGACACAAGUGAGUAAACGAAUGGCUGCCGAACCAGAAAAGUGACUGGAGUGGCCAGGGUGAGCCAGGCUGGGGCCCAGCUACCUGGAAAGUCUUCUCCCAGGAAGAGAAAAGCAUCCUAGUCAGUGAUUCCCU